AUGAAAAAGGCAAAGCUAGAGAAAUCUAGUGACGCAAAGCUAUAGGGUCCUAAGGGAUAGCCAGUUG
RNAcentral lists this non-coding RNA (67 nucleotides) under uncultured Anaeroplasma sp. RNAcentral's name for it is "Cyclic di-GMP-I riboswitch". It matches the Rfam family "c-di-GMP-I riboswitch aptamer". From Rfam's summary of the family: GEMM was predicted in a large-scale screen for bacterial structured RNA regulatory elements. Genes associated with GEMM are involved in a diverse array of functions, including chemotaxis regulation, signal transduction, secretion and chitin. Lineage: Bacteria; Bacillati; Mycoplasmatota; Mollicutes; Anaeroplasmatales; Anaeroplasmataceae. The record is from RNAcentral.